Molecule: ribosomal RNA, 465 nt
Filed under: uncultured bacterium
Lineage: Bacteria
Description: bacterial SSU rRNA
Rfam family: Bacterial small subunit ribosomal RNA
Source: RNAcentral
CCUACGGGCGGCACCAGUGGGGAAUAUUGCACAAUGGGCGCAAGCCUGAUGCAGCCAUGCCGCGUGUAUGAAGAAGGCCUUCGGGUUGUAAAGUACUUUCAGCGGGGAGGAAGGCGGUGAGGUUAAUAACCUCGCCGAUUGACGUUACCCGCAGAAGAAGCACCGGCUAACUCCGUGCCAGCAGCCGCGGUAAUACGGAGGGUGCAAGCGUUAAUCGGAAUUACUGGGCGUAAAGCGCACGCAGGCGGUCUGUUAAGUCAGAUGUGAAAUCCCCGGGCUUAACCUGGGAACUGCAUUUGAAACUGGCAGGCUUGAGUCUCGUAGAGGGGGGUAGAAUUCCAGGUGUAGCGGUGAAAUGCGUAGAGAUCUGGAGGAAUACCGGUGGCGAAGGCGGCCCCCUGGACGAAGACUGACGCUCAGGUGCGAAAGCGUGGGGAGCAAACAGGAUUAGAUACCCCCGUAGUC